This 222-nucleotide long non-coding RNA is filed under the name Athene cunicularia (burrowing owl). RNAcentral's name for it is "lncRNA (ENSACUG00000014690.1)". The record is from RNAcentral. Lineage: Eukaryota; Metazoa; Chordata; Aves; Strigiformes; Strigidae.
GGCGGAUUUUAAUUGGGAAGCACGAGCAGCUGAGCCAUAGCAGGAGUUGGAAAAUAGAUACAGAUGCACCUAUAUUUCUCUCAAGAAAAAUUCUCUUUAUUCCAGCAGCAGCCAUUCUGGUGUCAGUCACUACUAGGAGCCCCUACACAUAUGAACGUCCAAAGACUGCAGAGGUCUUGGAACCUAUUACACGUAGAAUUGAACCACCAAGGUCAACGAUAG